RNAcentral lists this small nuclear RNA (297 nucleotides) under Castor canadensis (American beaver). RNAcentral describes it as "7SK RNA (ENSCCNG00000008451.1)". It matches the Rfam family "7SK RNA". Rfam says of the family: 7SK was discovered as an abundant small nuclear RNA in the mid-70s but a possible function has only recently been suggested. Two independent studies have found that 7SK RNA binds the CDK9/cyclin T complex (known as elongation factor P-TEFb). Lineage: Eukaryota; Metazoa; Chordata; Mammalia; Rodentia; Castoridae. The record is from RNAcentral.
GGAUGUGAGGGCGACCUGGCUGCGACAUCUGUCACCCCAUUGAUCACCAGGGUUGAUUCGGCUGAUCUGCUGGGUAGGUGGGUGUCCCCUUCCUCUCUCACUGCUCCAUCCCUCCCGAAGCUGUGCACUUGGUCUAAGAGGAUGACUAUCCCAGAUAGUGGAGGACCGUUCUUCGGUCAAGGGUGUAUGAGUAGCUGUGCUCCCCUGCAAGAACCUCCAAAUAAACUCUCAAGAAUGUAGUGGUUAGUAAAAUAAAGCAUUUCUGUAAGAGGGUAAUCCUAUGGUAUAUAUAGUUUA